RNAcentral lists this ribosomal RNA (441 nucleotides) under uncultured bacterium. RNAcentral's name for it is "bacterial SSU rRNA". It matches the Rfam family "Bacterial small subunit ribosomal RNA", at positions 29 to 446 of the family's 1533-position model. The record is from RNAcentral.
AACGAACGCUGGCGGCGUGGAUAAGACAUGCAAGUCGAACGCUAAUUACGGAGUAGCAAUAUUUCGUAGUUGGAGUGGCGCAAGGGUGCGUAACACGUGGGUAAUUUGCCGUGAAGCUCGGAAUAACUCGCUGAAAGGCGAGCUAAUACCGGAUGUGAUAUUUGGGAGGCAUCUCCUAAAUCUUAAAGCUGGGGACCGUAAGGCCUGGCACUUCACGAUAAGCCCGCGGCCUAUCAGCUAGUUGGUGAGGUAACGGCUCACCAAGGCUAAGACGGGUAGCUGGUCUGAGAGGACGACCAGUCACACUGGAACUGAGACACGGUCCAGACACCUACGGGUGGCAGCAGUCGAGAAUUUUUCUCAAAUUGGGCGAAAGCCUGAAGGAGCGACGCCGCGUGGGGGAUGAAUGGCUUCGGCCCGUAAACCCCUGUCAUUUGCGAA